This is a long non-coding RNA of Salarias fasciatus (jewelled blenny), 115 nucleotides long. RefSeq lists it as uncharacterized. Lineage: Eukaryota; Metazoa; Chordata; Actinopteri; Blenniiformes; Blenniidae. The record is from RefSeq and is a predicted model, not a curated record. The transcript has 3 exons.
CCUGAACACAGAUCUGAGCUCUGAACUCAUGAAGCUGCACACAAAAGUCAACACAACUGAGAAUCUGCAACACAACCUGAACACAGAGCUGCAGGUCAGACUGAGGGACAAUGAA